RNAcentral lists this unclassified non-coding RNA (2351 nucleotides) under Eufriesea mexicana. RNAcentral's name for it is "forkhead box protein O, transcript variant X2". The record is from RNAcentral. Lineage: Eukaryota; Metazoa; Arthropoda; Insecta; Hymenoptera; Apidae.
GAAAGAGAAAAGAGAGAGAAAGGAAAGAAAAAGGAUCAUUAAAGUGACCCUCGGUUCUGGUUUCGAAUCGUCGAUAACGACGUAGUGCCGUUUACCAUAGGUAAAGUGAGAGUGUCGACGAUAUCGAGAGUCUCGAUCGCAGCGCGAUACCGACUGUAACGGGCGACAUUUCGCGGUUUCUCGCUAGGCAGCGCGAUAUUUUCGAGAGAACACAGCACCACGCGAGGUGCUCGCGGUCAAAGUGGAUUACACGGAGGAAACGAACAUGAUGGACUCGGUGCCGGUUUCUGCGUCGGGGUCGAAGACCGGGUUGCAACCACAGCAGGGGGUACCAUACGACCUUGAGAGCGGGUUCGAGCCUCAGACGAGAGCACGGUCGCACACGUGGCCGCUGCCAAGACCGGAGGAAUACAUCGAGGGGAACGUGGUACCGAGCGUAUCGGCUAGCAAAGAGGGCGUCGAAGGCGUCGAAAGUGGCACGCCGCCUCAGCAUGGCUCUCUCGGCCAAGGUACCGGCCUGCUUCCGGUCAAGAAGAAUUCGUCCCGACGAAACGCCUGGGGAAAUCACAGUUAUGCCGAUCUCAUUACUCAAGCCAUUACCAGCGCCCCGGACGAGCGAUUGACUCUCUCUCAGAUCUACGAAUGGAUGAUGCAGAACAUCCCCUACUUCAGGGAGAAGGGAGAAAGCAACAGCAGCGCUGGGUGGAAGAACUCCAUAAGACACAACCUGUCGUUGCACAGCAGAUUCAUGCGAGUGCAGAACGAGGGUACCGGGAAGAGUUCCUGGUGGAUGAUCAAUCGCGACGCGAAACCAGGCAAGUCGCGUAGGAGGGCAAUAACCAUGGAGACCAGUAAAUUUGAGAAGCGACGUGGCAGGGUGAAGAAGAAGAUCGAGGCGCUAAGGAACGGGGGUUUACAAGCUGACGCGACACCUAGCCCCAGUAACAGCGUCAACGAGGGGUUGGAUCUCUUCCCGGACAGUCCUCUUCAACCUGGCAGUGGAUUUCAGCUUUCACCUGAUUUUCGUCCUCGAGCUUCGAGCAAUGCCUCAUCCUGUGGUCGAUUAAGUCCAAUCCCAGCGAUCCCUGGGAAACCGGAAUGGACUCCAACAUACGCACCCUCUUAUAGCCCAGAACAAUUAGCCGGUAGCCUCGCGGAAACGAUGAAACUGGAUCCCUAUCAAAUGUAUCAGACAUCACCACCGAGCCACCAGCAACAGACCGGGCCACCACCUUCUUAUUACGAGACCCAAUAUCAGAGGAGCAAUAGUCUGUCAACUGGAUCGUCUUCCUUCGCUCUGCAGCCAACUCCUCAAUCGGCAAAUCAGCAGAGAUGCCCGAUUCACGGUCUGCAGCCGUGUGCCUGUCAAAUGAACUUGAGUCCAGUGGCUGGAAUGUCACCGUCGUACCAACAGAGCGAACCAAGUCCCACGGCAUUAGGAAGCAAUCAGCAGCAAACUCUGCAGUACAUGAUACAGACGCAACAGUGCCAGCAGCAGCAGCAGCAGCAACAGCAACAGCAGCAGCAGCAGCAACAACAGCCGCAAACAGGGGCAACGGGUUCCAGCCCACCGCAAACACCCACGCCAUGCGGCCCCACACCUACCACGAUGAUGGGCCAAUUGAUGGGAGCCCUCAAUAACCCGACGAUCCUCGACGAUCUGAACAUUAACAUCGAAUCGUUGCACGGUGGAUUCGACUGCAACGUGGAGGAGGUGAUCAAGCACGAGCUGUCGAUGGACGGGACGCUGGACUUCAACUUCCAACAGGGCGUGAUGGGCACGGCCGCGAUUCAAGUGAGCGACAGCAACGUCGGCCAGAACGGCGCCGUGUCCCAGAACAACGUGGUCGGCACGACGGCCGGAAACGCGCCCGCAGGAGUAUACGUGAGCACCAACGCGGCGACUCCUGCUGCACCACCCUCGUGGGUUCACUAGCAGUGGACCCCACUGCCCUCGACACCCCCGUCGUCCUUGUCGUCGUCGUUACUAGACGGACAAGAGACCUUCCACGGACAGUCCGAGGGACAGUUCAACGGUUACAGAAUUUCUAGGAAAAAUUGUGCAGAGGCAAACCUGAUUCUUACAAUGUACGCCUUUGCGCUUGGAAAACCAAAAAAAGAAAAAAAAAAAAAGGAAAAAAAAAGAAGUGAAUCCGAAAACACGUAUGGGGCUGUAUGUUUACUUAGUCUCGCCACGAAUAUUCAUCAUGUUUGUAUAUAAUAUUUGUAAAAGUAAUAACCUAACCGCGUAUCGAAUCCUCUGAAAACACGAAAAAUGUUAUUUACUGUACUUAAAUAUUUGUUUGAACAUUCGAAGCGUGGCGAAUCCAGGCUAAAUUGUGUAAAAUAUU